AACAAACGCUGGCGGCAGGCCUAAAACAUGCAAGUCGAACGAUUGCAGCAAUGCAGUAGUUGCGCGCGGGUGAGUAACACGUGGGAAUAUGCCUUUUGGUACGGAACAACUUUUGGAAACGAAAGCUAAUACCGUAUGGUCCCUUCGGGGUACAGAUUUAUCGCCAAAAGAGUAGCCCGCGCUGGAUUAGCUAGUUAGUGAGGUAACGGCUCACCAAGGCGAGUAUCCAUAGCUGGUCUGAGAGGAUGAUCAGCCACACUGGGACUGAGACACGGCGCAGAAUCCUACGGGAGGCAGCAGUUAGGAAUAUUGGACAAUGGGCGCAAGCCUGAUCCAGCCAUGCCGCGUGAGUGAUGAAGGCCUUCGGGUUGUAAAGCUCUUUAGUCCACGAAUAUAAUGACUGUAGUGGAAGAAUAAGCCCCGGCUAACUUCGUGCCAGCCGCCGCAGUAA
This 451-nucleotide ribosomal RNA is filed under the name uncultured bacterium. RNAcentral describes it as "partial 16S ribosomal RNA". It matches the Rfam family "Bacterial small subunit ribosomal RNA", at positions 29 to 523 of the family's 1533-position model. The record is from RNAcentral.